GAUGAACGCUGGCGGCGUGCCUAAUACAUGCAAGUCGAGCGAACAGACGAGGAGCUUGCUCCUCUGACGUUAGCGGCGGACGGGUGAGUAACACGUGGAUAACCUACCUAUAAGACUGGGAUAACUUCGGGAAACCGGAGCUAAUACCGGAUAAUAUAUUGAACCGCAUGGUUCAAUAGUGAAAGACGGUUUUGCUGUCACUUAUAGAUGGAUCCGCGCCGGAUUAGAUAGUUGGUAAGGUAAAGGCUUACCAAGGCAACGAUGCGUAGCCGACCUGAGAGGGGGAUCGCCCACACUGGAACUGAGACACGGUCCAGACUCCUACGGGAGGCAGCAGUAGGGAAUCUUCCGCAAUGGGCGAAAGCCUGACGGAGCAACGCCGCGUGAGUGAUGAAGGUCUUCGGAUCGUAAAACUCUGUUAUUAGGGAAGAACAAAUGUGUAAGUAACUAUGCACGUCUUGACGGUACCUAAUCAGAAAGCCACGGCUAACUACGUG
Molecule: ribosomal RNA, 497 nt
Filed under: uncultured bacterium
Lineage: Bacteria
Description: partial 16S ribosomal RNA
Rfam family: Bacterial small subunit ribosomal RNA
Source: RNAcentral